CCUACGGGAGGCAGCAGUGGGGAAUAUUGCACAAUGGGGGAAACCCUGAUGCAGCAACGCCGCGUGAGUGAAGAAGGAUUUCGGGAUGUAAAGCUCUAGCAGCAGGGAAGAAGAAGGACGGUAACGGACGAAGAAGCCCCGGCUAACUACGUGCCAGCAGCCGCGGUAAUACGUCGGGGGCGAGCGUUAUCCGGAUGUACUGGGUGUAAAGGGAGCGUAGACGGUUACUCAAGUCGGAAGGGAAAGCCCGCGGCUCAACUGCGGAACGGCUUUGGAAACUGCGUAACUGGAGUGCUGGAGGGGCAGGCGGAAUUCCUGUUGUAGCGGUGCAAUGCGUAGAUAUCAGGAGGAACACCGGUGGCGAAGGCGGCCUGCUGGACAGUAACUGACGUUGAGGCUCGAAAGCGUGGGGAGCAAACAGGAUUAGAUACCCGUGUAGUC
RNAcentral lists this ribosomal RNA (441 nucleotides) under uncultured bacterium. RNAcentral's name for it is "partial 16S ribosomal RNA". It matches the Rfam family "Bacterial small subunit ribosomal RNA", at positions 338 to 795 of the family's 1533-position model. The record is from RNAcentral.